CCGUGGGAGGAGCGGACGGGUGCUCGGGCAGAGUGGAGAUCUGGCACGACGGCUCCUGGCGGAGGGUGUGCGACAACUCCUGGGCCAAGCAGGAGGCCGAGGUGGCGUGCAGGCAGCUGGGCUGCGGCUCCGCCGUGUAUCCCCUGGACAACGCUGCCUUUGGGAAGGGGACAGGCCCCGUCUGGCUGGAGAAGGUGGAUUGCCGGGGGACAGAGCUGUCUCUGCAGCACUGCUCUGCCCGGCCUGGGGACAGCGGUGCCUGCCAGCACGAGGAGGGCGCUGCCGUGAACUGCUCAGCACCACCCAGCACGACAGCACCAACCCCCCGAGCAGAUCCCACCCGGGGCCCUCCGACCAGCAGCAGCAGCAGCAGGAUCUCAUUACCCAUCAUCAUCUGCAUCAUCCUGGGAGCCCUUCUGUGCGUGCUCCUGGCCCUCCUGGCCGGGCAGGCGCGAAGCGCCAGGGCUGGGCGCGGAGGCUCUGAGAGCGCUUGGGAGCCCUUCCCUGAUGCUGUGUACGAGGAGAUCGGUUACAGCCAGGCAUGGGAGAAGCAGCUGAGGUUCAGCGGCAAAGGUG
Molecule: non-coding RNA, 576 nt
Organism: Phalacrocorax carbo (great cormorant)
Lineage: Eukaryota; Metazoa; Chordata; Aves; Suliformes; Phalacrocoracidae
Source: RefSeq, a predicted model, not a curated record